AGCCUCAUGAGCUGUGGCCUGUCAGUUUUGUCUUUAGUUGAGUCCAGGCAUGGUGGCUAGGCUCUGUCCUCACCAGGCCUGUCUGAGCUCACUUACUGAGGCCUGGCUGGCUAUUCAGGUGUCCGACAGCAGGGACCUGUGGUCAUUACGGAGGUGUCAGACUGGCCCUGGAGGGCAGUAGCCGAGUAGAGAUCAGAACUUCUCUAGCACACGGCGUUCAGUUCCUGAAGGCCCUGGAGAGGAAGCGCUGCAUGGAGGAGAGCACCGCUAUGGAGCCCAGCAUUGGGCCACUCUACAGUGUGUCAGAGGACAGGAUGGAUGGAUACCUCAGCGAGGAUCCUGUUCUUAACUCCUCAACGUGUGACCUGUCGGACGAAGAGAUUUCAACAAAGAGAGAAAACCACCAGAGGCUUGGCCCUGAAGACCUCAAUGAUACACUUUUGUAUGAUUUUUGAGUUGUGUGAAAGUGUUAGAAUGUGUGAAGCUCACUGUUUAAAAAUGUUUGCUGACCUUGCACUCUGGUCGUCAUAUGUCAUGCUUUAUUAAAUAUUAAAAUAAAUUGUUUUAAAUAGC
Molecule: long non-coding RNA, 573 nt
Organism: Pygocentrus nattereri (red-bellied piranha)
Lineage: Eukaryota; Metazoa; Chordata; Actinopteri; Characiformes; Serrasalmidae
Exons: 4
Source: RefSeq, a predicted model, not a curated record